RNAcentral lists this long non-coding RNA (4110 nucleotides) under Panax ginseng (ginseng). RNAcentral describes it as "long non-coding RNA (PGIN_LNC005774)". Lineage: Eukaryota; Viridiplantae; Streptophyta; Magnoliopsida; Apiales; Araliaceae. The record is from RNAcentral.
CCAUAUGAAGAGAGAAGAGAAGAGAUGAGUUGGGAGAUUUAGAUAAGAUAUACAAGAUAUAUCUAUACAUAUUUACUAAUACCAAAUUUAUUACUGAGUUUAUUUCUCUUAUUUCCACAUUUUAUAAAAGAAAACAAAAGAAAAUAAAAAGAGAGAGAGAGAGAGAGGUAGAUUCGACAACCAUAGAGGAAGGGGAGAGAGAGUUUGAUCCAAGCUAUCUAGAUUCAUCCAGGAGAAGGAGAAGGAAGUAAGAUCAAAGAUCUUGGUAUAAAUCCUAACUAAACUAGUUUAUUUCUUUUUAUUUAAUUUGUUUUGAUGAAAUAAAGAUCUAAGAUUUCAAAACUCAAAAACCUUAGAUAUACAUAUUAAUAAGUGUUUUAUAUUUAGAUCUAACCCUUUUGAGUGUCAAAAGUUGGAUCAAAAGAAAGAAAAGUAAAACUAAUUUCUAAAGGGCUAGAAAACCAUAAUUUUCUUUUACUUUGAAAGAUUAUAACUUGAGUCUACACCUUCUUUUUGUGAUUCAUUAAAGUGGGGUGCUAGAUAUGUAAGUUAACUAUUAAAGGCAAGUGGUAGCACUCAAAACUGUUGAUUGUACAAGCCAUAGGAUGUGUUUUGGUGUAAACUGUCCAGCUAGAAUAAAAAAGGGGCCGGGAAAAACAUUUUCUGUUCAGUUGCUUCCAGGGGGAGUUUCGUCCGUUUAAGUUGCUUUAAAAAUUCUAGAAACAUUUGGUAGGAUAAUAUGACAAGUUAUCUAGAUCCGGUCUAAAGAUGAAAAUUUUUGGAUGUGUAGAAUGGGAGUUAUGGAUUUUAUAAGAAAGAAUUAUUUAAAAGAGAACUGAAAUAAGUUUUUGUGUGUAACUCCAAAAAUUGUACCUGAAAUGUUUACUGGAGGUAGAGUAUCAUGGCAGGAGCAUAUCUUGAAAAUUUUAGAAGUUUUGGACAAAGUUUCGAUUUAUGAAGAUCCAACUAUUUUGGUCAUUUUAAAAAUAGUAAAUGAAAUCCAAAAAUUCCCGAAAAAUUAUAUGUUCAUCAUGAUACCAUAUAAUGAAAAUUUUCAGGAAAAAAAUAUUUUUGGAGUUGAUUUGGUAUUUUCAUGUAAAUGAUUGAGUAAUGAAUAAAUGAAUAAAAUAAAUAAUGCGAUGCUAUAAAGGGUAAAAAUGUAAUUUUAUUGACCAAAGACCCUUGAUAUAAGGUUAUCAGAUUUUUAGAGGGUAUUUUGGUCAUUUUUGAUAAAAUAAUAUAUUUAUAGUAUUUUAGGUUUAUUAAAUGAAUGAAUUAGUAAAGGGUAAACAAUUAGAAUUAAUUGUUUAUUAGUUUAAUAAAUAAUUAAAAUAUUAUUAAGAGCUUAAUAAUAUUAUUUUAAGAUAUUAAGAAGUAAUUAAUAAUAUUUAGAUUAAAAUAUUAUUAAAUGAUUAAUAAUUUUAGAUUAAAGUUAAAUUAAAAUAUUAUUAAAUAAUUAAUAAUAUUAGAUAAUGAUUUAAAUUUUUAUUAAAUGAUUAAUAAUAUUAGAUUAGAGUUAAAUUAAAAUAUUAUUAAAUGAUUAAUAAUAUUAGAUAAUGAUUUAAAAUAUUAUUAAAUGAUUAAUAAUAUUAAAUUAAAGUUAAAUUAAAGUAUUAUUAAAUAAUUAAUAAUAUUAUUAAUUGAUUAAAAUAUUAUUAAAUGGUUAAUAAUAUUUAGGAAAGGUUAAGAUAUUAAAUAUUGAUUAAAAUAUUAUUAAUUGAUUAAUAAUAUUAGUAAUUGGAUAAGAUGUGAUUAAUGUACGGAAUAUUAUUAAGUGAUUAAUAAUAUUAUUAAGUGACUAAAAUAUUAUUAAAUGAUUAAUAAUAUUAAUAAGGGAUUAAAAUAUUAUUAAAUGGUCAAUAAAGGAUUAACAAUAUUAGACAAGAGUUUAAGACAAUGAUUAUAUAAUAAUAAUAUUAUCAAGGGAUAAUAAUAUUCCUAAUGAGUAAGGUAUUAUUGAAUGUUUGAUUACAUAAUUACAUGUUAGAUAAUUUAUUAUAAGAAUAGUGGUGUUAUGAGUUAUAAUAUGUUAUGCUAAUUGAGAGAUCAAUAUUAUUAAUGAUACGUCUUUCAGACGAAGUUAAAUUAAAUUAUGUAGCAGUAGUCAACGACCAAUGCAUGUUUCCUAACUCAACUUGAGUUAUUAAUUUCAAAGCAUGUUAGUGGAUAAUUAUUGUUGAUUAUUCACAUCCAUAAUGAUUAUUGUUAUUCGCACAUAGUGCAAUUGAUUCCUGUUUCAUUAUUUGAACUGUGAAAUAAAUUUAAAGUUCUUUUAUUCAUGAACUAUUUAUGAGCCAUGUCUCAGCUAUUUGUUUUGGUUAGACUAAUAAUUGAUGAAUCAUUCUAUUAUUUGAACUAAGUUGUUAUUGAAAGAUUUAUGCUAUUUAUUUCGGCUAGAUCAAUAUUGAUAGUAUAUGUUGAAAUCAUAACAUUUCUUUGAAAGCAAUCCAAACCAUAUUGUUAUGGUACAGACUCAUGAUGUAAGACUGAGAUGAACCACUCUUAUAAAUAGGGAAACUUUAUUGUCGGACAUUCGACCCUUACGCUAUUUUUGAGUAUUAUGCAUAAUAUAGGGUACAAUGGGACUGAUUACCUCAUGUACUCGCAGAAGAGUAUAAUUAGUUUUUAUAACUAACUUAUAUUUUUUAGAUAAUUCAGUUUUAUUAACUGAUGAUUCCUCUAUUAGUUCUUUAUCCAUUUGUGAUCACUCAACAUGAAAUCUGGGAAUAUCCCACUUUAUUGAAUGUUGUUGCAGUAUUGCUAACUUUUUUUAAUCAAUUGAAUGUAAUUGAACUUUCGAAAGAAUUUCACUCUUUCAGUCUUGAUAUGAUAUGUUAUUUAUUCUGGAAUUCAAGAAAAUUCUUGUUAUUGAAAAUGAUUUAUUGUUCAACUAUUUCACAAUCUUUUGAAUAUUGUUGAAAUCCUAGAAAGUUAGAUUCUUCUAUAUCUUUUAUUGAACGUUUUAACUUGCCGAGCAAACUAGUUACUCGCCCUUGCUUAAAUAAAACAUUUCAGUUAAAGCCGAGGUAGCCGAAGGGUCUAAGAAAGAUAAAUGCAAAGAGAAUGCGACCGAGUAGAAUUAAUUGUGUAAUGAUGAUUAUUAUAUUGUAUUUUUGGUUUAAGCCUUUUGUAUUAUAGGGCAUGUAAUAUUAAGGUUAGUUUACGUGGGAUGAUGUUACAAAUAUGUAUUUAAGGUAUGUUUUUAUUAUGGAAAUGUAAUGAAUGAUAUAAUUUAUAACGAAUGAGUAUUUAAAUGUGAUAUGUUUGAUGUAUCGUGAACACCGAAUUCGAGGUUCGAGGAACCCGAAUUUGGGAGCGUCACAUUAUGGAAUACGGAAUAUCUUUUCAGGAUUUAUAAUCCCACGGCCUGUAAGUUAUAGCAACUCAAACGCUCUAAUUUUUAUAAUUUUUUUUUAUUCAAGUUUGAUGUUGAGAAUCUAAUACUAGCUAGAAAGCAUGAAAGCGUACAUUCAGGAUUUAAACAUGAUGGAUGUGUUGCUUACAAACUGUACGGUCUGAUUGCGUCGCAAUUUGGAGACAUGCAUUGAGGAAUGUUCAGUUGCUUACAGUCUGUACGGUCUGAUUGUGUCGCAAUGAGUAAUGCAACAGAUAAUGCAGUAGAGGUGAAGAAGACGUAAUGAGCUUCCUGCUGUUGUAUGGGUUUUUUUUGUUACUUAAAAUGUAUUGUUUUUUUGUUACUUAAAAAUGUAAUUAUUGUAAAUUAUGGGCCAGUUCGCAGUUCCAAGAAAAGGUGAAACCUCGUAUGAUCAAAUUGAUGAAAUUCUUUUAAGAAGUAGUGGCUGCUUCUACAUUACCAAUUACUCCUAUAUAUAUGUUGUACAUACUGAUUGCAUAUUUACAUUACUAUUUCAUUUUUUUUUCACACAUUAUGUAUUCUGCUCUACUGGGUUAGUAUUUGUUUUUAGAUGCAAUGUUAUCUGAUCAAUAAUUAGUUUCAUGUUUGAAUGUGCUUUUAUUUAUGCAGUAUUUUUUGAGGUUUAUGUAUGCAUAUCAAAGUUUAGGAUGAAAUUUAUUUUUAAUUAAUAAUCUGAAUUUAAAAUGGAGAGGGUAAAGACCAUUUUCUAUGGAUCAAAUUAUGGAUCAAGGGAC